UUAAAGCCACACCACGCCGAAUGUCAGCUGCGCUUUCCCCUGCUUCCCGGCCCCAUAUGUAGGUUAAUAGUUUGCAGAAAACGCGUUUAAAGCCUCUCCCCGUCUGCUUUCCCGGCGUACUCUCCCCAGCCAAGCGCAAUGCCACCGCAUCGCCUUUCCUGCUGCACGCUGCAAUUGAGAGACAAACCCGAACUCGCCCAACCAAAAUACCCCUCCGCAGUCCCCUGCGACUGCUCGAGCACUAAAGGAUGGCUUCUCACUUUGCGCUCCAGAAAUGAGAUACUGAAAAUCCAAGAUUGUGACAAACUGCAGAGUAAUACCGCUUCCAUGUCAAGACAGAGGGGUCUAGUCGCUGCAUCCUCAGCGUGACUUCAGCACCCUGAGUUUAGAUCCUUACGUACCUCCUACAACUCCCAUGUCUGGCCUUGGUCAAGCCACCCUAGUUAUAACCGCAUCUUGUGUGUGAGCCCCGGAGCCCGUCGUGCCUCAGCCCCUUCUUCCAGCAUUGCUGUCCACACUGUCCCUCCAAACACAGCCCUCAGUGGAGACGGACAUUUCUGGAGGGUGAUGAAACCCACCAGGAUCUCGGCUGGGAUGACUUGCCUCCCGCAAGGGUCUGUCUCCUUGCUCCUGAGCUAAGCCUAGACUACUGCCUCGAACCGACACCUGACUUCUGGAGAGCUGCGGUUAGGUGUGGUGAUCUCCUCCCUGCGUGAUUCAUUUUCCCCUCAUGUAAAUCAGGGGUAAUCCCUAUUUGACAGGUGCUGCUUCGCUGCUUGCGAAGUGCUCAGAGAGCACAGCAAAAACAGCCGGAGAGCCAUCUUUGAAUGAAAAAGCUGUGUUUCCUGUUGGUUAAAGCAUGUUCUGACACUUGGGAGUUGAUGGUUUUCUUUCCUUCUAUGCCACUAACUCUACAGAUGAUCUUGAGCAUCUUCCCCACCUGUUUCCCUCAACCAUGGAGGAGACAUAACACCACCAGACCAGUACUAGAAGAGCCUAGUGUGAAACAUAUCCUGCAAGCGCCGAGUGUUAUCCUUCUUCAUCAGCAAUUAUCCUCAUUUACUGGCAGACCACCUCGGUCGGCAUUUCUGCUUCCACCUCUGGAGGGUAAAACCCUACUUGCAAACAUAUACAAAGCGAUGAAGGUUUUAUUUUCUCUGGCAUGUUCAGACAGUAUCCUAGAUUUUUAUGUAAUGGACAAAUCCUUCAGGGAUGCUUCUUCCAGGAGGGUAGGGAGUGCUUGACUCUCCCUUUAUUUCUAAAGAAAACAUGCGCUACCCCAAUAUUAGGCCUUUGCAUAUAUUGGUACUGCAGAUAUAUAAAGCGCAAAAUGGCAAAUUCCUGAUAAAUACAGCCAAGUAUCCAAGAACGGUACUCACAUUUCCCUGUUCCACAAGCAUUUUAAUGGCUUUGGGGGCCAAAUUAACGUGAAAUCUGUUUCUUCUCAAGGCAUCACCAUCACCUCAGAAGUGAAAUACCGUGAGGAGAUCAUAAAUGUGUCCUUGAGGUGUAAAAGAAAGGCAAUGAAAAAUAUGAGCACAAAUAAAAACACUGGCUUAGGCUGCA
This is a long non-coding RNA of Aquila chrysaetos chrysaetos, 1566 nucleotides long. RefSeq lists it as uncharacterized. The transcript has 2 exons. NCBI's taxonomy places the organism in Eukaryota, Metazoa, Chordata, Aves, Accipitriformes, Accipitridae. The record is from RefSeq and is a predicted model, not a curated record.